This 586-nucleotide ribosomal RNA is filed under the name Hanseniaspora uvarum. RNAcentral's name for it is "eukaryotic LSU rRNA". It matches the Rfam family "Eukaryotic large subunit ribosomal RNA", at positions 52 to 652 of the family's 3401-position model. The record is from RNAcentral. Lineage: Eukaryota; Fungi; Ascomycota; Saccharomycetes; Saccharomycodales; Saccharomycodaceae.
GGAGGAAAAGAAACCAACUGGGAUUACCUUAGUAACGGCGAGUGAAGCGGUAAAAGCUCAAAUUUGAAAUCUGGUACUUUCAGUGCCCGAGUUGUAAUUUGUAGAAUUUGUCUUUGAUUAGGUCCUUGUCUAUGUUCCUUGGAACAGGACGUCAUAGAGGGUGAGAAUCCCGUUUGGCGAGGAUACCUUUUCUCUGUAAGACUUUUUCGAAGAGUCGAGUUGUUUGGGAAUGCAGCUCAAAGUGGGUGGUAAAUUCCAUCUAAAGCUAAAUAUUGGCGAGAGACCGAUAGCGAACAAGUACAGUGAUGGAAAGAUGAAAAGAACUUUGAAAAGAGAGUGAAAAAGUACGUGAAAUUGUUGAAAGGGAAGGGCAUUUGAUCAGACAUGGUGUUUUUUGCAUGCACUCGCCUCUCGUGGGCUUGGGCCUCUCAAAAAUUUCACUGGGCCAACAUCAAUUCUGGCAGCAGGAUAAAUCAUUAAGAAUGUAGCUACUUCGGUAGUGUUAUAGCUUUUUGGAAUACUGUUAGCCGGGAUUGAGGACUGCGCUUCGGCAAGGAUGUUGGCAUAAUGGUUAAAUGCCGCCCGU